Molecule: microRNA precursor, 102 nt
Filed under: Marmota monax (woodchuck)
Lineage: Eukaryota; Metazoa; Chordata; Mammalia; Rodentia; Sciuridae
Source: RNAcentral
AGUGGAUAGCUGGGUCAAAUGGUAGUUCCAUUUCCAGUUUUCUGAGGAACCUCCAUACUGCUUUCCAUAACAGUUUCACCAAUUUGCAUUCCCACUAGCAAU